Molecule: ribosomal RNA, 465 nt
Filed under: uncultured bacterium
Lineage: Bacteria
Description: partial 16S ribosomal RNA
Rfam family: Bacterial small subunit ribosomal RNA
Source: RNAcentral
GACGAACGCUGGUGGCGUGCUUAACACAUGCAAGUCGAACGCUGAACCCGCUUCGGUGGGGGAUGAGUGGCGAACGGGUGAGUAACACGUGGGCAACCUGCCCCCGGCUCUGGGAUAACUCCAAGAAAUUGGGGCUAAUACCGGAUGUGACCGCUGGCCGCAUGGUCUGGUGGUGGAAAGGGUUUCCGGCUGGGGAUGGGCCCGCGGCCUAUCAGCUUGUUGGUGGGGUAGUGGCCUACCAAGGCGACGACGGGUAGCCGGCCUGAGAGGGUGACCGGCCACACUGGGACUGAGACACGGCCCAGACUCCUACGGGAGGCAGCAGUGGGGAAUAUUGCGCAAUGGGCGGAAGCCUGACGCAGCGACGCCGCGUGGGGGAUGACGGCCUUCGGGUUGUAAACCUCUUUCAGCAGGGACGAAGCGCAAGUGACGGUACCUGCAGAAGAAGCACCGGCCAACUACGUG